RNAcentral lists this microRNA precursor (110 nucleotides) under Brugia malayi. RNAcentral's name for it is "microRNA bma-mir-9504 precursor". The record is from miRBase by way of RNAcentral. Lineage: Eukaryota; Metazoa; Nematoda; Chromadorea; Rhabditida; Onchocercidae.
UACCAACUUUCCAUAAUCAUUUUAUCUCACAUUCAUCCGUAUUUCAGCAAAUUUUUGUUUAUGAGAAUAUGGAUGAAUGUGAGAUGAGAUGCCUGUGGCAUGGAUUGUCC